AUUGAACGCUGGCGGCAUGCCUUACACAUGCAAGUCGAACGGCAGCACGGGUGCUUGCACCUGGUGGCGAGUGGCGAACGGGUGAGUAAUACAUCGGAACAUGUCCUGUAGUGGGGGAUAGCCCGGCGAAAGCCGGAUUAAUACCGCAUACGAUCUACGGAUGAAAGCGGGGGACCUUCAGGCCUCGCGCUAUAGGGUUGGCCGAUGGCUGAUUAGCUAGUUGGUGGGGUAAAGGCCUACCAAGGCGACGACCAGUCGCUGGUCGGAGAGGAGGACAAGCCCCACUGGGACUGAGACACGGCCCAGACUCCUACGGGAGGCAGCAGUGGGGAAUUUUGGACAAUGGGCGAAAGCCUGAUCCAGCACUGCCGCGUCUGUGAAGAAGGCCUUCGGGUUGUAAAGCACUUUUGUCCGGAAAGAAAUCCUUGGCCCUAAUACGGUCGGGGGAUGACGGUACCGGAAGAAUAAGCACCGGCUAACUACGUG
Molecule: ribosomal RNA, 486 nt
Filed under: uncultured bacterium
Lineage: Bacteria
Description: partial 16S ribosomal RNA
Rfam family: Bacterial small subunit ribosomal RNA
Source: RNAcentral